GUGGGGAAUUUUGCGCAAUGGGGGAAACCCUGACGCAGCAACGCCGCGUGAAGGAUGAAGGCCUUUGGGUCGUAAACUUCUGUCAGAGGGGAAGAAAUACUCGCAAGAGUGCUGACGGUACCCUCAAAGGAAG
This 133-nucleotide ribosomal RNA is filed under the name uncultured bacterium. Its description in RNAcentral is "partial 16S ribosomal RNA". It matches the Rfam family "Bacterial small subunit ribosomal RNA", at positions 354 to 490 of the family's 1533-position model. The record is from RNAcentral.